UCCUCACCAAUAUUUUCGUUCAAAGCUUCAACUUUUAUCCGAGGAAGAAUCCUCCCAUGGUUGAUUUCAUGAUAUACGAUGUUCCCCAGUGCAUGACACUACAGGAUUUUUGCAAUGUAUGCAAAUUACCUUAUGUUGGGGAUAUUCGUGACCCUCGUCCACGGGACUUGGAGGAUUUCAUUAGUACUAUUGCUGUUGGAGAGGAGAGAGGAGUGUCUCGCG
Molecule: long non-coding RNA, 222 nt
Filed under: Hordeum vulgare
Lineage: Eukaryota; Viridiplantae; Streptophyta; Magnoliopsida; Poales; Poaceae
Description: long non-coding RNA (HVUL_LNC018531)
Source: RNAcentral